RNAcentral lists this ribosomal RNA (230 nucleotides) under uncultured bacterium. RNAcentral describes it as "partial 16S ribosomal RNA". It matches the Rfam family "Bacterial small subunit ribosomal RNA", at positions 563 to 791 of the family's 1533-position model. The record is from RNAcentral.
UAAGCGUGCGCAGGCGGUUAUAUAAGACAGAUGUGAAAUCCCCGGGCUCAACCUGGGAACUGCAUUUGUGACUGUAUAGCUGGAGUGCGGCAGAGGGGGAUGGAAUUCCGCGUGUAGCAGUGAAAUGCGUAGAUAUGCGGAGGAACACCGAUGGCGAAGGCAAUCCCCUGGGCCUGCACUGACGCUCAUGCACGAAAGCGUGGGGAGCAAACAGGAUUAGAUACCCUUGU